Molecule: long non-coding RNA, 633 nt
Organism: Micropterus dolomieu (smallmouth bass)
Lineage: Eukaryota; Metazoa; Chordata; Actinopteri; Centrarchiformes; Centrarchidae
Exons: 3
Source: RefSeq, a predicted model, not a curated record
GUGUAGCUUGUAAUGCUCUGUACUGUGAUGUCCUCUGUCUACCUGCUUUCCCCUGACAGUUCUUGGUUUUCCAGUUGGAUUAUUUGUUUGUUGGGAUCGUUUAUUUACUUUGAAUACCCUGGACUCAGCCACUCUGUUUAUCCAGCCACUCCCUCCUGCCCUUCUAUUACCUCGUUCCACCAGUCACCUCAACUGCAUCCCAUUUCCCUCAUUAGUUCCCGUGUGUGUGUGUGUGUACAUACACAUGUAUGUAUGUGUCUCUGGAACUGUUGAGUCUGUGGUUGCAAGUCACCUGCUGCUGCUGCCAUGACCCUGCUCAACACCCUUUGCUACAGUUAUUACUAGUCCUGUUUUUAUUACUACUAUGAUUAUCAUUAUUUCUUUUUCAGUCUGUACCACUACUACCUUUACUGUCUGUAUUUCUGGGUGGAUAUUGUGUUUGCUGCAAUCAUAAGCCAUUUUUGACAAAAACAAAGCGGUUAGGUAAAAGAAUGGGACAGAGAGUCCACUGCAGUAUAUGGAGGUCCCAUAUUUGAUUGGUAGACGUCACUCAAGGACAAGGAAGUUCCCUCUUGGCAAUUUCUUUUAACACAUUUAAUAAAGCACAUUUGCAGUAAUAUUAUGUAAAAAGAC